Molecule: ribosomal RNA, 90 nt
Filed under: Bacillus haynesii
Lineage: Bacteria; Bacillati; Bacillota; Bacilli; Caryophanales; Bacillaceae
Description: partial 16S ribosomal RNA
Rfam family: Bacterial small subunit ribosomal RNA
Source: RNAcentral
UUCAUGGAGAGUUUGAUCCUGGCUCAGGACGAACGCUGGCGGCGUGCCUAAUACAUGCAAGUCGAGCGGACCGACGGGAGCUUGCUCCCU